Molecule: non-coding RNA, 360 nt
Organism: Cajanus cajan (pigeon pea)
Lineage: Eukaryota; Viridiplantae; Streptophyta; Magnoliopsida; Fabales; Fabaceae
Source: RefSeq, a predicted model, not a curated record
ACAGGUAAGGAGUGUGGAAGUAAAGGAAGCUCUGCGCCUUCAGAAAGAAAAUAACUUUGUGUUGCUUGAUGUAAGGCCAGAAGCACAGUUCAAAGAGGCACAUCCUCCAGGUGCAAUCAAUGUGCAAGUAUAUAGACUAAUAAAAGAGUGGACAGCAUGGGACAUUGCUAGGCGUGCUGCAUUUGCAUUUUUUGGCAUUUUUGCUGGUACAGAAGAGAACCCUGAGUUCAUCAAGAAUGUUGAAGCAAAACUAGAUAAAAGUGCAAAGAUAAUAGUCGCUUGCUCUUCAGGGGGUACAUUGAGACCAUCACAAAAUUUGCCUCAGGGACAACAAUCAAGGAGGGCCGAACGAGAGCUUCA